CCAACACUGGGACUGAGACACUGCCCAGACUCCUACGGGAGGCUGCAGUCGAGAAUCAUUCGCAAUGGGCGAAAGCCUGACGAAGCGACGCCGUGUGAGCGAAGAAGGCCUUAGGGUUGUAAAGCUCUUUCGCUUGGGAACAAGAUAAAAUGGCUAAUAUCCAGUUAAUUUGAAGGUACUAGGUAAAGAAGCACCGGCUAAC
This 202-nucleotide ribosomal RNA is filed under the name uncultured Chlamydiales bacterium. Its description in RNAcentral is "partial 16S ribosomal RNA". It matches the Rfam family "Bacterial small subunit ribosomal RNA", at positions 307 to 501 of the family's 1533-position model. Lineage: Bacteria; Pseudomonadati; Chlamydiota; Chlamydiia; Chlamydiales. The record is from RNAcentral.